AUGUGGAGUACACCGACCACGAAAAACCUCCAUAGAUGGCGGCAGUCCUGCAGUUGUGCGUCGAGGAACUCUGCUUGGUGUACCACAUCGCCGCGGCCACAAAAUCAUGAGCCCAAGCGCCUCAAAGACUUCCUGCAGGAGGAGAAAUUGUACACAUUUGUUGGUUUCAGCAUUGGAGGUGACAAGCGGAUGCUGGAGAAGUCUGGUUUGGAAAUCAACCCCAACAACUUCAUCGACAUGCAGCGCAAGUGGAAAGAUCCAAAGACCGACAAAUACUACGACUCCUUGGCCGAUGUUGCAGGCGGCGUCAUCCACCCAUUCUACGAAGGCAUGAAGAAGAAGAUGAACAAGGAAGACCACAAACUGUGGGCAAACAGCCCGCUGCCAGACAACCUCAUCACGUACGCAGCAAUAGAUGCGUGCGCAACAUACAAGUCAUGGAAGACAAUUGACAACAUCGUGACAGGUUGGGAUAGUUCAAAAGAGCAGGAGGCUGACCCAUACUACCACUGCAACUUCACGGAUGAAGAUGCAUGA
Molecule: ribosomal RNA, 537 nt
Filed under: Triticum aestivum (bread wheat)
Lineage: Eukaryota; Viridiplantae; Streptophyta; Magnoliopsida; Poales; Poaceae
Description: partial small subunit ribosomal RNA
Source: RNAcentral